Molecule: long non-coding RNA, 570 nt
Filed under: Rattus norvegicus (Norway rat)
Lineage: Eukaryota; Metazoa; Chordata; Mammalia; Rodentia; Muridae
Description: long non-coding RNA NONRATT017112
Source: RNAcentral
GGCCGGGAAACCCGCGCUGUCACAAAGGGGGACACGUGGGUGCCGCUGGCCCGGCCGCGCUCUCCCGCUGCGGGAGAGCUGCCUCCGCCGCCCGCCACCUCCUCCCCGGCCGCCCUGUGGGGCCGCGGCCGUGGCCGGCUGAGGAGAUCUCCCGGCCAAGUGGGAUCGCCGCCUUCAGUCACUCCACCGCGCUCCGACCCUGCACAGCCAUGUCCAUCCUCUACGUCUCUCCCCACCCCGACGCCUUCCCCAGCCUGCGAGCCCUCAUCGCUGCCCGCUACGGGGAAGCUGGGGACGGUCCCGGGUGGGGAGGCCCUCACCCUCGCAUCUGCCUGCAGCCUCCCCCGAGCAGCCGGACUCCAUUCCCCCCGCCUCGCCUGCCCGCCCUGGAGCAGGGGCCUGGCGGCCUGUGGGUGUGGGGGGCCCCGGCUGUAGCUCAGCUGCUGUGGCCAGCAGGCCUGGGAGGACCCGGGGGCAGCCGGGCAGCUGUCCUGGUCCAGCAGUGGGUCAGUUAUGCCGACACGGAGCUCACACCAGCUGCCUGCGGGGCGACGCUGCCUGCUCUAGGAC